Molecule: ribosomal RNA, 507 nt
Filed under: uncultured bacterium
Lineage: Bacteria
Description: bacterial SSU rRNA
Rfam family: Bacterial small subunit ribosomal RNA
Source: RNAcentral
UAGUCCACGCCGUAAACGAUGUCAACUAGCCGUUUGGAGCACUUAGCUCUUAGUGGCGCAGCUAACGCGAUAAGUUGACCGCCUGGGGAGUACGCCGGCAACGGUAAAACUCAAAGGAAUUGACGGGGACCCGCACAAGCGGUGGAGCAUGUGGUUUAAUUCGAGGCAACGCGAAGAACCUUACCAGUCCUUGACAUCCUAAUCGCGGAUCGCAGAGAUGCUUUCCUUCAGUUCGGCUGGAUUAGUGACAGGUGCUGCAUGGUUGUCGUCAGCUCGUGUCGUGAGAUGUUGGGUUAAGUCCCGCAACGAGCGCGACCCUCAUCCUAUUUUGCCAGCACGUAAUGGUGGGAACUAUUAGGAAACUGCCCGUGACAAGCGGGAGGAAGGCGGGGAUGACGUCAAAUCAGCAUGGCCCUUACGGACUGGGCUACACACGUGCUACAAUGGUGACUACAAUGGGCCGCGACCUCGCGAGGGGAAGCUAAUCUCAAAAAGUCAUCUCAGUUC